RNAcentral lists this ribosomal RNA (253 nucleotides) under uncultured bacterium. RNAcentral describes it as "partial 16S ribosomal RNA". It matches the Rfam family "Bacterial small subunit ribosomal RNA", at positions 524 to 776 of the family's 1533-position model. The record is from RNAcentral.
UACGUAGGUGGCAAGCGUUGUCCGGAAUUAUUGGGCGUAAAGCGCGCGCAGGCGGCCUCUUAAGUCUGAUGUGAAAGCCCCCGGCUCAACCGGGGAGGGCCAUUGGAAACUGGGAGGCUUGAGUAUAGGAGAGGAGAGUGGAAUUCCACGUGUAGCGGUGAAAUGCGUAGAGAUGUGGAGGAACACCAGUGGCGAAGGCGACUCUUGGCCUAUAACUGACGCUUGAGGCGCGAAAGCGUGGGGAGCAAACAGG